Molecule: ribosomal RNA, 443 nt
Filed under: uncultured bacterium
Lineage: Bacteria
Description: partial 16S ribosomal RNA
Rfam family: Bacterial small subunit ribosomal RNA
Source: RNAcentral
CCUACGGGAGGCAGCAGUAGGGAAUCUUCGGCAAUGGACGCAAGUCUGACCGAGCAACGCCGCGUGAGGGAAGGAGGCUUUCGGGUUGUAAACUUCUUUUCUCAGGGAAGAAGAAGGUGGCGGUACCUGAAGCAUAAGCCACGGCUAACUAAGUGGCAGCAGCCGCGGGACUACGUAGGGGGCAAGCGUUUUCCGGAUUUAUUGGGAGUAAAGUGCGUGUUGGCGGGAGCGCAAGUCAGAUGUGAAAACUCAGGGAUUAACCCUGAGCCGGCAUUUGAAACUGUGUUUCUUGAGUGCUGGAGAGGCAAGCGGAAUUCCGUGUGUAGCGGUGAAAUGCGUAGAUAUACGGAGGAACACCAGUGGCGAAGGCGGAUUGCUGGACAGUAACUGACGCUGAGGCUCGAAAGCGUGGGGAGCAAACAGGAUUAGAUACCCGAGUAGUA